This 73-nucleotide transfer RNA is filed under the name Gemmataceae bacterium. Its description in RNAcentral is "tRNA-Arg". It matches the Rfam family "tRNA". Rfam says of the family: Transfer RNA (tRNA) molecules are approximately 80 nucleotides in length. Their secondary structure includes four short double-helical elements and three loops (D, anti-codon, and T loops). Lineage: Bacteria; Pseudomonadati; Planctomycetota; Planctomycetia; Gemmatales; Gemmataceae. The record is from RNAcentral.
GCCCCUGUAGCUCAGUGGAUAGAGCAACGGUUUUCUAAACCGUUGGUCGCAGGUUCGAUCCCUGCCAGGGGUG